CCUGUAGCAGGGAAGCUGACUCCUUUGGCCGCUGCUUUUUGUGUGCCCAGCUCCAUUUGCCCAGUCUGCCCGCCUCCGUGAUCCCCUGCGGCGCCGGCUGGAGCCUUCGUAGCGCGCCAGUGAGGAGCUGCUGCAGAAGAAACAACAAGAGGCACGGUGAACCUGGUUGGCCUGAGCAUGCAAGAAGAUAUUACUGUAACCGUCCAUUUGUUUCAGUAAACUUUUUUCUUCUGGUGCAUCUGCUGUCAUGUGUGUUUUGCUUGUUAGCUCCUUAUUGUUGCAGUGGCCCUUUGAGAAUAAAAUUUGUUUGCUUUGUUUUUGCCAUGA
This is a non-coding RNA of Coturnix japonica (Japanese quail), 327 nucleotides long. Lineage: Eukaryota; Metazoa; Chordata; Aves; Galliformes; Phasianidae. The record is from RefSeq and is a predicted model, not a curated record.